UGAUAAUGGGGGGGUAGCCUGACGGGCAUACCGCGUGAGGGAGGAAGGCUCUUGGGUCGUAAACCUCUUUUCUCAAGGAAGAAGAAAGUGACGGUACUUGAGGAAUAAGCAUCGGCUAACUCCGUGCCAGCAGCCGCGGUAAUACGGAGGAUGCAAGCGUUAUCCGGAAUGAUUGGGCGUAAAGGGUCUGCAGGUGGAACUGAAAGUCUGCUGUUAAAGAGUUUGGCUUAACCAAAUAAAAGCGGUGGAAACUACAGAACUAGAGUGCGGUAGGGGCAAAAGGAAUUCCUGGUGUAGCGGUGAAAUGCGUAGAUAUCAGGAAGAACACCGGUGGCGAAAGCGUUUUGCUAGACCGUAACUGACACUGAGGGACGAAAGCUAGGGGAGCGAAUGGGAUUAGAUACCCCAGUAGUCCUAGCCGUAAACGAUGGAUACUAGGCGUGGCUUGUAUCGACCCGAGCCGUGCCGGAGCUAACGCGUUAAGUAUCCCGCCUGGGGAGUACGCACGCAAGUGUGAAACUCAAAGGAAUUGACGGGGGCCCGCACAAGCGGUGGAGUAUGUGGUUUAAUUCGAUGCAACGCGAAGAACCUUACCAAGGCUUGACAUCCUGCGAAUCCUGGUGAAAGCUGGGAGUGCCUUAGGGAGCGCAGAGACAGGUGGUGCAUGGCUGUCGUCAGCUCGUGUCGUGAGAUGUUGGGUUAAGUCCCGCAACGAGCGCAACCCUCGUUUUUAGUUGCCAGCAUUAAGUUGGGCACUCUAGAGAGACUGCCGGUGACAAACCGGAGGAAGGUGAGGAUGACGUCAAGUCAGCAUGCCCCCUUACGUCUUGG
This 831-nucleotide ribosomal RNA is filed under the name uncultured bacterium. RNAcentral describes it as "bacterial SSU rRNA". It matches the Rfam family "Bacterial small subunit ribosomal RNA", at positions 365 to 1212 of the family's 1533-position model. The record is from RNAcentral.